AACCCUGUUGCAGCUAUACCGUGUGUGUGAAGAAGGCCUUAGGGUUGUAAAGCACUUUCAAUGGGGAAGAAUUUAAUAUUGCUAAUAUCGAUAUUAGUUGACGUUACCUAUAUAAGAAGCACCGGCUAACUCCGUGCCAGCAGCCGCGGUAAUACGGAGGGUGCAAGCGUUAAUCGGAAUUACUGGGCGUAAAGAGUACGUAGGUGGUUUGUUAAGUCAGAUGUGAAAUCCCUGAGCUUAACUUAGGAACUGCAUUUGAAACUAAUAAACUAGAGUUUCGUAGAGGGGGGUAGAAUUCCAGGUGUAGCGGUGAAAUGCGUAGAGAUCUGGAGGAAUACCAGUGGCGAAGGCGACCCCCUGGACGGAAACUGACACUCAGGUACGAAAGCAUGGGGAGCAAACAGGAUUAGAUACCCUGGUAGUCCAUGCCGUAAACGAUGUCUAUUUGAA
RNAcentral lists this ribosomal RNA (450 nucleotides) under Blochmannia endosymbiont of Camponotus textor. RNAcentral's name for it is "bacterial SSU rRNA". It matches the Rfam family "Bacterial small subunit ribosomal RNA", at positions 379 to 821 of the family's 1533-position model. Lineage: Bacteria; Pseudomonadati; Pseudomonadota; Gammaproteobacteria; Enterobacterales; Enterobacteriaceae. The record is from RNAcentral.